Long non-coding RNA from Ictalurus punctatus (channel catfish), 1060 nucleotides. Lineage: Eukaryota; Metazoa; Chordata; Actinopteri; Siluriformes; Ictaluridae. The record is from Ensembl.
GAGAGUGUGUCUGAGAGAGUGUGAGAGAGAGAGUGAGUGUAGUGUAAAAGAAUCGAAAGCUCUGAAAAGUGAAUGUAACAGUUACAAAAAUAGAGACUUUUGACUUAUUCCACGCCUGCCACCCGUAUCCUCCCUCCAGACCUAGCCCAGGGGAAGUGUCACACUGGUGCCAAAACCUGGGACGGAGGAGGAUCACCGCCCUGGAGAUAAUGUUAAUUCCAUGUUAAUUCCCUUGCCGGCCUCCACGCUCCUGAAGCUCUUCGAGGGUGCUGCGGACGCGGGGGCUGGCCAGUGUCAAGUGGGCGGUCCUCCUGCUGCCACUAUUGUCGGGGAAGCCCAGCUCGCAACCCAACAGCUUCCGGUCCGUGAACCUGCUGCAGUACCUGGACUUAAAGUGGGCCAUUUUGCAACAGGUUGGCCACACCCCGAACAACACAAUCAGCACUUCUGCUCGCUGACGUUCCGUGAGCUCGGCGCCUGUUCACAUUUACCCAACGGCUCUGAGACACCUGUAGUGGACCUCAUGGUGCUGGAGUGGUUCGUUGCCCGACUACUGCUAGGUAUGGCGGAGUGGGUCCAGUGCACCAUCUGGCGUCGCUAGAUGAGGCAAUCCAGCUGGUGGAGGACCAUUUGGUGGUGUUUCCAGGGGUAGGUCAGCUCCCCCCCCUCUCCCUCCCUCUUUCUCUCUCAUUCUCCCCCAUUUUCUCCCUGCCCUUUCGUUUCCCUGCUCUACAGAAACAGGGAACAAUUCCCCCGAAACCAGCUCCCCAUCCCAGGGUUCCACUACCCCUACCUCCUCUCCUCUCCUUCACCUCUGAUGUCUCCCCUGACUCCCUCUCUCUCUACACAGGUAGUACAUUCCACAACUACCAGGACGGAGGCAAAAGCUGGGCAUUUUCGGGAUCAAGAUCUCCCUUCGGGAUCCAGAUCCCUGAUGCGCUGCAGGCCUCCCCGAUCAAGCAGGUACAUACAGCAUGUCAAUGAGUAUACAAGGGAGUACAUAUCAGCCACAGGGACAGCCCAUUUCCUAAACAGAGGGGGAUCUGAUACACCAUUAAUC